AACGAACGCUGGCGGCAGGCCUAACACAUGCAAGUCGAGCGAGGACUUCGGUUCUAGCGGCGGACGGGUGAGUAACGCGUGGGAAUGUGCCCUUCUCUACGGAAUAGCCCUGGGAAACUGGGAGUAAUACCGUAUACGCCCUAUUGGGGAAAGAUUUAUCGGAGAAGGAUCAGCCCGCGUUGGAUUAGGUAGUUGGUGGGGUAAUGGCCUACCAAGCCGAUGAUCCAUAGCUGGUUUGAGAGGAUGAUCAGCCACACUGGGACUGAGACACGGCCCAGACUCCUACGGGAGGCAGCAGUGGGGAAUCUUAGACAAUGGGGGCAACCCUGAUCGAGCCAUGCCGCGUGAGUGAUGAAGGCCUUAGGGUUGUAAAGCUCUUUCAGCUGGGAAGAUAAUGACGGUACCAGCAGAAGAAGCCCCGGCUAACUCCGUG
This 433-nucleotide ribosomal RNA is filed under the name uncultured bacterium. RNAcentral's name for it is "partial 16S ribosomal RNA". It matches the Rfam family "Bacterial small subunit ribosomal RNA", at positions 29 to 507 of the family's 1533-position model. The record is from RNAcentral.